Long non-coding RNA from Rhipicephalus sanguineus (brown dog tick), 655 nucleotides. RefSeq lists it as uncharacterized. Lineage: Eukaryota; Metazoa; Arthropoda; Arachnida; Ixodida; Ixodidae. The transcript has 3 exons. The record is from RefSeq and is a predicted model, not a curated record.
CUGAUAUUGAGGUGCCCCGAUGAGCAGGGUGGCAGCUCCCUUGUAGCUGGUGAAGACGUUCCUGCUGACUUCGUCUUGCUGGAGGAAACCUUGACCAGUCGCUCAGUUCUCACAAGAGGAACUUGUGUGACCGGUAAGUUUUACGUUUACUUCAACACCAGACUGUAUCGAUAUAGAGACUUCCGCAGGCUGCUCGCAAGAUUCUUCCGACAGCAGUGUCCGAGGCGCUGAACAAGCUUCACAAGACUGUACUGAAGACGUGUCCGCCAACAGCUCCACGCCUGAAUGCCCUACAGCCAAUGUGAUUUCCUGUGUGCCAGAGACAAGGUCUCCAUCACAGAAGUACAAGCAAACCAUUGAACGUCGGCAAACCAAAGUAGCAGCACAGCGAAAAACUAUCAAAAGACUGCAGAGACAGCCUCACCAAGCACCGUCAUCGACUUCAAAGGCCCUUGGCAUUAUCCAACUGCACGUCACCGAGGAGCUUUUUAAACUUGUUUCUGCACAUGUUCGCUUGAGGGCCAAAGGCAAGGGCAAGCGGUGUGGUUCAAGAAAUUCGCUCUUCACUUAAACUUCCGUGGUCCGCGAGAAUACCGAUUUCUGGCUCCAUAUUUUUCUUUGCCCUCCCGGCGUUCAUUGAGGAGGUGGCUAGCUA